GGAGAGAUGGCUGAGCGGUCGAAAGCGGCGGUCUUGAAAACCGUUGAGUCCUCUGGGCUCCGGGGGUUCGAAUCCCUCUCUCUCCG
Molecule: transfer RNA, 86 nt
Filed under: uncultured Aquicella sp.
Lineage: Bacteria; Pseudomonadati; Pseudomonadota; Gammaproteobacteria; Legionellales; Coxiellaceae
Rfam family: tRNA
About the family: Transfer RNA (tRNA) molecules are approximately 80 nucleotides in length. Their secondary structure includes four short double-helical elements and three loops (D, anti-codon, and T loops). Further hydrogen bonds mediate the characteristic L-shaped molecular structure. tRNAs have two regions of fundamental functional importance: the anti-codon, which is responsible for specific mRNA codon recognition, and the 3' end, to which the tRNAs corresponding amino acid is attached (by aminoacyl-tRNA synthetases). tRNAs cope with the degeneracy of the genetic code in two manners: having more than one tRNA (with a specific anti-codon) for a particular amino acid; and 'wobble' base-pairing, i.e. permitting non-standard base-pairing at the 3rd anti-codon position.
Source: RNAcentral